This 328-nucleotide ribosomal RNA is filed under the name uncultured eukaryote. RNAcentral's name for it is "partial 18S ribosomal RNA". It matches the Rfam family "Eukaryotic small subunit ribosomal RNA", at positions 1470 to 1796 of the family's 1831-position model. The record is from RNAcentral.
CCCUUAGAUGUUCUGGGCAGCACGCGCGCUACAAUGGUCUUCGCAAACGGAUGCAUUCUCGAAGGAGAAUGCCAAUCUUGGAAUCUAUGCCUUGGUCGGGACAGUUGCUUGCAAUUUUUCGACUCGAACCAGGAAUUCCUUGUAAUCGUGAUUCAUCACAUCACGAUGAAUACGUCCCUGCCCUUUGUACACACCGCCCGUCGCUACUACCGAUUGGAUGGUUUAGCGAGAACCUUGGACCGGAGCUCGGGUGGUCAGCAAUGGCCGCCCGAGACAUACUGGGAAAUCGCUCCAGCUUGAUCAUCUAGAGGAAGUAAAAGUCGUAACA